ACCGCAGGUCCUUAUCUUUUGGAUUGUAAAUAACUGCCCUGGCAGUCUGAAUACUCCCUCUUGAAAUGUAACAGACGUCUGUGAAAAGAGCCAUUACUUAUCUGUUUCUGUAAGCAUGCCUUAUGUUAGAGACCCUUGCACAAAGGAAAAAAGCUCCAAUGAUAGAACAAGUCUAAGGUGAUGCCAAAGAACCUAUAAAUUUUGUGAAAAACUGUGGAUCAGAGCUCAGAAUUUGGAGUUUUGUUUUCCUCUGAGCUGCCUGGUGUAAAACAAUGUUUGGAGUUCCCCUCCUCUCUGAGUGCUGUUUGCUGCUUCUUGAUCAGUCUGUUUCCCCCAACAAUACAGUUAACCACCCCUCCUCAUCCUCAAAACACUUGGAUUCUAGAUCAUCCUGUUCUCCUUCCCAGGAUACCUCCAGCCCCAAUGCUCUUCUCAUGCCACUUCAGCCUGAAAGUUGCACCUACUCAGUGUCUUGCUGAUUUCACUCUCAUUUUUUUUUCAGGGAUGUGCUUGAAUACCAACUCUUCAAUGAAGUGUUCCCCAAUGACUUGAUGAAAGUAUGCCUUCUUCCCAGCCCUAACCAAUUUAUCUCCCUUUCCUGCUAAACCCUAACCUUUUCUGUUUUGAAGUACUGAGGAUUGAACCUGGUGACACUCUACCACUGAGCCACAUUUCUCCCUUUUAAAAAAAUAUUAAUAUAUAUAUUUAAUAUGGUGCUGGGAAUUAGAACCCAGGGCCUUAUGCAUGCGAGGCAAGCACUCUACCAACUGAGCUAUAUCUUCAGCUCUCCCUAGCCCUUUUUAUAUUUUAUUUAGAGACAGAGUCUCACUGAGUUGCUUAGGGGCUCAUUAAGUUGCUGAGGCUGGCUUUGAACUCAGGAUUUUCCUGCCUCAGCCUCCCAAGUUGCUGGGUUGAAGGCAUGUGCCACUGUGCCUGCCCCUCCCCACACCCAGCCCUUUUUAUUUUUUAUGUUAAGAUAGUGUCUUGCUGGGCUGGGGAUGUGGCUCAAGCGGUAGCGCGCUGGCCUGGCAUGCAUGCGGCCCGGGUUCGAUCCUCAGCACAACAUAC
This 1068-nucleotide long non-coding RNA is filed under the name Marmota monax (woodchuck). Lineage: Eukaryota; Metazoa; Chordata; Mammalia; Rodentia; Sciuridae. The record is from RNAcentral.